UACGUAGGGUGCGAGCGUUGCCCGGAUUUAUUGGGCGUAAAGGGCGCGUAGGCGGCCACGCACGUCCGUUGUGAAAUCGCCCGGCUCAACUGGGCGGGGUCAGCGGAUACGGUGUGGCUCGAGCAAGCUAGGGGGCAAUGGAAUUCCCGGUGUGAGUGGUGGAAUGCGUAGAUAUCGGGAGGAACACCAGUGGCGAAGGCGGUUGCCUGGAGCUUUGCUGACGCUGAGGCGCGAAAGCGUGGGGAGCGAGUCCGG
RNAcentral lists this ribosomal RNA (255 nucleotides) under uncultured bacterium. RNAcentral describes it as "partial 16S ribosomal RNA". It matches the Rfam family "Bacterial small subunit ribosomal RNA", at positions 524 to 777 of the family's 1533-position model. The record is from RNAcentral.